GAUAGAGGCCUACCAUGGUGGUAACGGGUAACGGGGUGUUAGGGCACGACACCGGAGAGGGAGCCUGAGAAACGGCUACCACAUCCAAGGAUGGCAGCAGGCGCGCAAAUUACCCAAUCCCGACACGGGGAGGUAGUGACAAUAAAUAACAAUACGGGGUUCUUUAGGAUCUCGUAAUUGGAAUGAGUACAAUUUAAAUCCCUUAACGAGAACCAAUUGGAGGGCAAGUCUGGUGCCAGCAGCCGCGGUAAUUCCAGCUCCAAUAGCGUAUAUUAAAGUUGUUGCAGUUAAAAAGCUCGUAGUUGAACCUUGGUCUCGGUUAUUGUGGUCAGUGUAUGCUGUACUGCAGUAACCGGGACUUUCCUUCCGGGGAACUAUUGUGCUCUUAACUGGGUGUAAUAGGGAACCGGGACUUUUACUUUGAAAAAAUUAGAGUGUUCAAAGCAGGCUUAUGCUUGAAUACNNUAGCAUGGAAUAAUGAAAUAGGACUUUGGUUCUAUUUUGUUGGUUUCUAGGAUCAAAGUAAUGAUUAAUAGGGAUAGUUNGGGGCGUUAGUAUUCAGCUGUCAGAGGUGAAAUUCUUGGAUUGGCUGAAGACUAACUUCUGCG
RNAcentral lists this ribosomal RNA (608 nucleotides) under uncultured fungus. RNAcentral describes it as "SSU rRNA". It matches the Rfam family "Eukaryotic small subunit ribosomal RNA", at positions 332 to 947 of the family's 1831-position model. Lineage: Eukaryota; Fungi. The record is from RNAcentral.